UGACGGUACCUGCAGAAAAAGCACCGGCUAACUACGUGCCAGCAGCCGCGGUAAUACGUAGGGUGCAAGCGUAUCCGGAAUUAUUGGGCGUAAAGAGCUCGUAGGCGGUUUGUCGCGUCUGCUGUGAAAUCCCGAGGCUCAACUUCGGGCUUGCAGUGGGUACGGGCAGACUAGAGUGCGGUAGAGGAGAUUGGAAUUCCUGGUGUAGCGGUGGAAUGCGCAGAUAUCAGGAGGAACACCGAUGGCGAAGGCAGAUCUCUGGGCCGCUACUGACCCUGAGGAGCGAAAGCAUGGGGAGCGAACAGGAUUAGAUACCCUGGUAGUCCACGCCGUAAACGAUGGAUACUGUCUGUUGGUUCGUAAGGAUCAGUGGAUAAGCGAAAGUGAUAAGUAUCCCACCUGGGGAGUACGUUCGCAAGAAUGAAACUCAAAGGAAUUGACGGGGGCCCGCACAAGCGGUGGAGCAUGUGGUUUAAUUCGAUGAUACGCGAGGAACCUUACCAAGGCUUAAAUGUAUAAUGACAGGGGUGGAAACACCUUUUUCUUCGGACAGUAUGCAAGGUGCUGCAUGGCUGUCGUCAGCUCGUGCCGUGAGGUGUCAGGUUAAGUCCUAUAACGAGCGCAACCCUUAUCGCUAGUUGCCAGCGUUUCAAGACGGGGACUCUAGCGAGACUGCCAACGCAAGUUGCGAGGAAGGUGGGGACGACGUCAAGUCAUCACGGCCCUUACGUCUUGGGCGACACACGUGCUACAAUGGCCGGUACAGAGGGCAGCUACCACGCGAGUGGAUGCGAAUCUCGAAAACCGGUCUCAGUUCGGAUUGGAGUCUGCAACUCGACUCUAUGAAGCUGGAAUCGCUAGUAAUCGCAUAUCAGCCAUGAUGCGGUGAAUACGUUCCCGGGCCUUGUACACACCGCCCGUCAAGCCAUGGAAGCCGGGGGUACCUGAAGUCGGUGACCGUCAAAGGAGCUGCCUAGGGUAAAACUGGUAACUAGGGCUAAGUCGUAACAAGGUAGCCGUAGUCGUAACAAGGUAGCCGUAAGCUAGUCGUAUACAUCACGCGUCC
This 1066-nucleotide ribosomal RNA is filed under the name uncultured bacterium. RNAcentral describes it as "bacterial SSU rRNA". It matches the Rfam family "Bacterial small subunit ribosomal RNA", at positions 470 to 1533 of the family's 1533-position model. The record is from RNAcentral.